RNAcentral lists this ribosomal RNA (521 nucleotides) under uncultured bacterium. RNAcentral's name for it is "bacterial SSU rRNA". It matches the Rfam family "Bacterial small subunit ribosomal RNA", at positions 8 to 518 of the family's 1533-position model. The record is from RNAcentral.
AGAGUUUGAUUCUGGCUCAGGAUGAACGCUAGCUACAGGCUUAACACAUGCAAGUCGAGGGGCAGCAUUGGAGUAGCAAUACUUCAGAUGGCGACCGGCGCACGGGUGAGUAACACGUAUCCAACCUGCCGCUUACUCGGGGAUAGCCUUUCGAAAGAAAGAUUAAUACCCGAUGGUAUAAAGAGUUCGCAUGUUCUCUUUUAUUAAAGAAUUUCGGUAAGCGAUGGGGAUGCGUUCCAUUAGAUAGUUGGCGGGGUAACGGCCCACCAAGUCUACGAUGGAUAGGGGUUCUGAGAGGAAGGUCCCCCACAUUGGAACUGAGACACGGUCCAAACUCCUACGGGAGGCAGCAGUGAGGAAUAUUGGUCAAUGGACGAGAGUCUGAACCAGCCAAGUAGCGUGAAAAGGAUGACUGCCCUAUGGGCUGUAAACUUCUUUUAUAAGGGAAUAAAGUGAGGGACGUGUCCCUUUUUGUAUGUACCUUAUGAAUAAGGAUCGGCUAACUCCGUGCCAGCAGCAGC